GAUGAACGCUGGCGGCGUGCUUAACACAUGCAAGUCGAACGGAAAGGCCAGUGCUUGCCCUGGUGCUCGAGUGGCGAACGGGUGAGUAACACGUGGGUGAUCUGCCCUGCACUUUGGGAUAAGCCUGGGAAACUGGGUCUAAUACCAGAUAGGACCAUGCUUUGGAUGGUGUGGUGGAAAGUUUUUUCGGUGUGGGAUGAGCUUGCGGCCUAUCAGCUUGUUGGUGGGGUAAUGGCCUACCAAGGCGUCGACGGGUAGCCGGCCUGAGAGGGUGUACGGCCACAUUGGGACUGAGAUACGGCCCAGACGCCUACGGGAGGCAGCAGUGGGGAAUAUUGCACAAUGGGCGCAAGCCUGAUGCAGCGACGCCGCGUGGGGGAUGACGGCCUUCGGGUUGUAAACUCCUUUCGCAACUGACGAAGCUUUUUGUGACGGUAGGUUGAGAAGAAGCACCGGCUAACUACGUG
Molecule: ribosomal RNA, 467 nt
Filed under: uncultured bacterium
Lineage: Bacteria
Description: partial 16S ribosomal RNA
Rfam family: Bacterial small subunit ribosomal RNA
Source: RNAcentral